UACAGAGGUCUCAAGCGUUGUUCGGAAUCACUGGGCGUAAAGGGUGCGUAGGCGGGUCCUUAAGUCAGGGGUGAAAUCCUGGAGCUCAACUCCAGAACUGCCUUUGAUACUGAGGAUCUUGAGUUCGGGAGAGGUGAGUGGAACUGCGAGUGUAGAGGUGAAAUUCGUAGAUAUUCGCAAGAACACCAGUGGCGAAGGCGGCUCACUGGCCCGAUACUGACGCUGAGGCACGAAAGCGUGGGGAGCAAACAGG
RNAcentral lists this ribosomal RNA (253 nucleotides) under uncultured bacterium. RNAcentral's name for it is "partial 16S ribosomal RNA". It matches the Rfam family "Bacterial small subunit ribosomal RNA", at positions 524 to 776 of the family's 1533-position model. The record is from RNAcentral.